Molecule: non-coding RNA, 1345 nt
Filed under: Pongo abelii (Sumatran orangutan)
Lineage: Eukaryota; Metazoa; Chordata; Mammalia; Primates; Hominidae
Source: RNAcentral
UGGAAUUGCAGGAUUCACUCCCCUCCUGCGACCUAGCCAGGCGUGAGGGAGUGACGGCCGCGCAUUCGCCAGACGAGAGCGAUGGCUGAGAACGCCGCACCAGGUCUGAUCUCAGAGCUGAAGCUGGCCGUGCCCUGGGGCCACAUCGCAGCCAAAGCCUGGGGCUCCCUGCAGGGCCCUCCAGUUCUCUGCCUGCACGGCUGGCUGGACAAUGCCAACUCCUUCGACAGACUCAUCCCUCUUCUCCUGCCAGACUUUUAUUACGUUGCCAUGGAUUUCGGAGGUCAUGGGCUCUCGUCCCAUUACAGCCCAGGUGUCCCAUAUAAUCUCCAGACUUUUGUGAGUGAGAUCCGAAGAGUUGUGGCAGCCUUGAAAUGGAAUCGAUUCUCCAUUCUGGGCCACAGCUUCGGUGGCAUUGUGGGCGCAACGUUUUCCUGUACCUUCCCUGAGAUGGUGGAUAAACUUACCUUGCUGGACACCCUGCUAUUUCCCCUGGAAUCAAAUGAAAUGGAGAACUUGCUGACCUACAAGCGGAGAGCCAUAGAGCACAUGCUGCAGAUAGAGGCCUCCCAGGAGCCCUCGCACGUGUUCAGCCUGAAGCAGCUGCUGCAGAGCCAGAGAACAGCGCUGACUACGUCAGCAGGGAGCUGUGUGCGCAUUCCAUCAGGAAGCUGCAGGCCCACGUCCUAUUCAUCAAAGCAGUCCACGGAUAUUUUGAGUCAAGAGAUAAUUACUCUGAGGAGGAGUCCGUGUCGUUCAUGAUAGACAUGAUGAAAUCCACCCUCAAAGAGGACCUCUUCUGAUACAGUCACAGCAACGCUGGCCUUGGCCCCGCCCUGUCCCUGCCAUGCAACUUCACAACUCAGCUGGCCUAGACCCCUGGGAGUCCUCCAAGUCCCUAGGCGGUUCCAGUUUGUGGAAGUCCCAGGCAAUCACUGUGUCCACAUGUGCGAACCCCAGCACGUGGCCAGUAUCAUCAGCUCCUUCUUACAGCGCACACACACGCUCCCAGCCCAGCUGUAGCUCUGGGCCUGAACUAUGAAGACCUAGUGCUCCCAGACUCAACUCGGGGACUCUGAGUUCCUGAGCCCUACAACAAGGCCAGGGAUGCUGGGGACAGGCCUCACUGGUCUUGAGGCCCAGCCUAGGAUGGUAGUCAGGGGAAGGAGCGAGAUUCCAACUUCAACAUCUGUGGCCUCAAGCGGGAGACAGAGUCUGGGUUCCAGGGCUGCUGUCUCCUGGCUAAUAAUCUCUAGCCAGCUGGAGGAAGGAAGGGUGGGAUGGGCCCACCUAGCCUUUCCCUGCUGCCCCACUGGAUGGAAAAUAAAAGGUUCUUGUAUUCUCA